UGUGUGUGUGUGUGUGUGUGUGUGUUUCCGUGUGUGUUUCCACCCAUGAAAGCAUCUUGAUUUUUAAAUCUAGAUUGAGAGAUGUUGCACGCACACACAAACACACACACACAUGUACAUACAUACA
Molecule: non-coding RNA, 127 nt
Organism: Podarcis lilfordi (Lilford's wall lizard)
Lineage: Eukaryota; Metazoa; Chordata; Lepidosauria; Squamata; Lacertidae
Source: the annotation of a GenBank genome assembly